AAGGUCAUGUCUGGAUUCCACAAUAUACUGCAAACAGUAGGCUUUCUAUUGAAGACUCCUCAUUAAGGCCAUAGAGGUUCUGAAUCUCAGAAAAAAUAAAUGUUUCUUCUUUGAGUCUACAACUGAGUGAAUGGGACAACACUCAGGCAACAGCAAACUGAGUGCAUUCAUAAUUCAACUUCUUAAGAUAAGCCUUUCUUCCCUGGACUGACUUCUGUUCACUGUGCAUGGGAACUGUUGGGUUCUGCCUCCCAGGUGCCCCGGUACCGUGCAGGCUGGCAGAUCAGCUGCUCCGACACGCAGUGGGACCCAGCUCUGUACAGCACCACCAAGUUGUGUGUUCACUGAAAACUGGAUACAAUCUGAGCAGGUCUAAAGCUAGAGGUAAUGGACCUUUUAAAGCCAUUGCCUUUCAAGCAAUAAAAAUAAUAAAAGUCCACAUAACUGCCAAGAUGACAUCAUGAACAAGGAAGCAUACAGAUGGGUUUAAAUGAAUGCAUUCAACAGGAGGAACUAUGUUUUCUUAUGAUCAAGAUUUAGUGAGCAAAUUAUAGAAAAGCAUAAGAAUAAACAGUUAUGCCACUCUGGGAUUGUUAAGCA
Molecule: long non-coding RNA, 600 nt
Filed under: Dromaius novaehollandiae (emu)
Lineage: Eukaryota; Metazoa; Chordata; Aves; Casuariiformes; Dromaiidae
Description: lncRNA (ENSDNVG00000004572.1)
Source: RNAcentral